RNAcentral lists this ribosomal RNA (1211 nucleotides) under metagenome. RNAcentral describes it as "bacterial SSU rRNA". It matches the Rfam family "Bacterial small subunit ribosomal RNA", at positions 8 to 1221 of the family's 1533-position model. The record is from RNAcentral.
AGAGUUUGAUCCUGGCUCAGGAUGAACGCUAGCGGCAGGCCUAAUACAUGCAAGUCGAACGAGAUUGAGGAGCUUGCUCUUCAUGAAAGUGGCGCACGGGUGCGUAACGCGUAUGCAACCUACCUUAAUCAGGGGGAUAGCCUCUCGAAAGAGAGAUUAACACCGCAUAAAAUCACAGUCCGGCAUCGGAUAAUGAUCAAAUAUUUAUAGGAUUAAGAUGGGCAUGCGUGACAUUAGCUAGUUGGUAAGGUAACGGCUUACCAAGGCUACGAUGUCUAGGGGAUCUGAGAGGAUGACCCCCCACACUGGUACUGAGACACGGACCAGACUCCUACGGGAGGCAGCAGUAAGGAAUAUUGGUCAAUGGGGGCAACCCUGAACCAGCCAUGCCGCGUGCAGGAAGACGGCCCUACGGGUUGUAAACUGCUUUUAUACGGGAAUAAACCUCUGCUCGUGAGCAGAGUUGAAUGUACUGUAAGAAUAAGGAUCGGCUAACUCCGUGCCAGCAGCCGCGGUAAUACGGAGGAUCCAAGCGUUAUCCGGAUUUAUUGGGUUUAAAGGGUGCGUAGGCGGCCUAUUAAGUCAGGGGUGAAAGACGGUGGCUCAACCAUCGCAGUGCCCUUGAUACUGAUGGGCUUGAUUACACUUGAGGUAGGCGGAAUGUGACAAGUAGCGGUGAAAUGCAUAGAUAUGUCACAGAACACCAAUUGCGAAGGCAGCUUACUACGGUGUUAAUGACGCUGAGGCACGAAAGCGUGGGGAUCAAACAGGAUUAGAUACCCUGGUAGUCCACGCCCUAAACGAUGAAUACUCGAUGUUAGCGAUAUACAGUUAGCGUCAAAGCGAAAGCGUUAAGUAUUCCACCUGGGGAGUACGCCCGCAAGGGUGAAACUCAAAGGAAUUGACGGGGGCCCGCACAAGCGGAGGAGCAUGUGGUUUAAUUCGAUGAUACGCGAGGAACCUUACCCGGGCUUGAAAGUUAGUGAAUUAUCCAGAGAUGGAUAAGUGAGCAAUCACACGAAACUAGGUGCUGCAUGGCUGUCGUCAGCUCGUGCCGUGAGGUGUUGGGUUGAGUCCCGCAACGAGCGCAACCCCUAUGUUUAGUUGCCAGCAUGUAAAGGUGGGGACUCUAAACAGACUGCCUGUGCAAACAGAGAGGAAGGAGGGGACGACGUCAAGUCAUCAUGGCCCUUACGUCCGGGGCUACACAC